Molecule: long non-coding RNA, 479 nt
Organism: Hibiscus syriacus
Lineage: Eukaryota; Viridiplantae; Streptophyta; Magnoliopsida; Malvales; Malvaceae
Exons: 2
Source: RefSeq, a predicted model, not a curated record
UUGUCCAGCUGCAAAGGGAAGCAUCAAGCAAACCUCUGGGAUUGACACAUGAUAUAUUCCCCAGAGUUAUGCCUCAUUUCAUUACUGGAUCAACAAAUACGGAAAGAUUCAUCUCAGCUGGAAUUUCGAGCUCAACUCGAAAUCGCAGAACCAGAACUGGUGAAGAGGUGCUGAGAAACAGUGAAAAAGCUUUUCCAAAGAGGGAGCCUACGUAUUUCUUUGAGAAGAUGUUAGGCGACGGGCUUGCUUCAAACCGAGAGAAAUGGUCGAGGCAAAGCUAGCCAAUUCCUUUCAUGGGGAGCUUAAAGAGAUGACUCCGGCGAUCAUUGCUGGUGUCGAAACGAUGCUAGAGAAAUGGAAAGGUAAAGAAGGAGAAGAGAGAUCGAAGUGUACCAGGAGUUCAGAUUAUUUGCUUCAGAGUAAUAUCCAGAACAGCUUUUGGUAGCAGCUAUUUGGAAGGGGAGAAGAUUUUUGACAUA